This 517-nucleotide ribosomal RNA is filed under the name uncultured bacterium. Its description in RNAcentral is "bacterial SSU rRNA". It matches the Rfam family "Bacterial small subunit ribosomal RNA", at positions 48 to 563 of the family's 1533-position model. The record is from RNAcentral.
CGUAUACAUGCAAGUCGAACGAUCCUUGAGUGGCUUGCCAUUCAAGGAGAGUGGCGAACGGGUGAGUAACACGUGAGUAAUCUACCCUCGAGUGGGGAAUAACUCCGCGAAAGCGGGGCUAAUACCGCAUAAUACUCUUGAGCACACGCUUUUAGAGUCAAAGCCCUUCGGGGUGCUUGAGGAUGAGCUUGCGCCAUAUUAGCUUGUUGGUGGGGUAAUGGCCUGCCAAGGUAAUGAUGUGUAGCCGGCCUGAGAGGGUGUACGGCCACACUGGAACUGCGACACGGUCCAGACUCCUACGGGAGGCAGCAGUAGGGAAUUUUGCGCAAUGGGCGAAAGCCUGACGCAGCGACGCCGCGUGGAGGAUGACGGCCUUCGGGUUGUAAACUCCUGUCAGAGGUGAAGAAAGUCCCCUCGGGGACCUGACGGUAACCUCAGAGGAAGCCCCGGCUAACUACGUGCCAGCAGCCGCGGUAAUACGUAGGGGGCAAACGUUGCUCGGAAUUACUGGGCGUAA